GGAGGGGUGGCUGAGUGGCCGAAAGCACCGGUCUUGAAAACCGGCGACGGGUGACCGUCCCAGGGUUCGAAUCCCUGCCCCUCCGCCA
RNAcentral lists this transfer RNA (88 nucleotides) under Gammaproteobacteria bacterium 54_18_T64. RNAcentral describes it as "tRNA-Ser". It matches the Rfam family "tRNA". Rfam says of the family: Transfer RNA (tRNA) molecules are approximately 80 nucleotides in length. Their secondary structure includes four short double-helical elements and three loops (D, anti-codon, and T loops). The record is from RNAcentral. Lineage: Bacteria; Pseudomonadati; Pseudomonadota; Gammaproteobacteria. RNAcentral also lists the same sequence under 1 other name.